AGUGGGGUAACGAACGCAACCCUCGUUGCCUGUUAUAAGUAUCAGGCGAGACUGCCCCCUCACGGGGGAGGAAGGUGAGGAUGACGCCAAGUCAGCAUGUCCCUCUGAUGCCCUGGGCUGCACACGCGCUACAAUCGCCACUACAACGAGGCGCGACGGGGUAACCCUGAGCAAAUCUUUCAAAAGUGGCGCCAGUUCGGAUUGAGGUCUGCAACCCGACCUCAUGAAGCCGGAAUCGCUAGUAAUCGCGGAUCAGCCAUGCCGCGGUGAAUACGUUCUCAAGCCUUGUACUCGGGUCGUCAUGCGAUCGAGUAUGCU
RNAcentral lists this ribosomal RNA (318 nucleotides) under bacterium. Its description in RNAcentral is "bacterial SSU rRNA". It matches the Rfam family "Bacterial small subunit ribosomal RNA", at positions 1083 to 1415 of the family's 1533-position model. The record is from RNAcentral.